Molecule: ribosomal RNA, 419 nt
Filed under: bacterium
Lineage: Bacteria
Description: partial 16S ribosomal RNA
Rfam family: Bacterial small subunit ribosomal RNA
Source: RNAcentral
UGGGGGAUAUUGCACAAUGGGCGAAAGCCUGAUGCAGCGACGCCGCGUGGGGGAUGAAGGCCUUCGGGUUGUAAACUUCUUUUGCUCUGAACAAGGCAUGCUAAUGGGUGUGUUGAGUGUAGGGGUUGAUUAGCGCCGGCUAACUACGUGCCAGCAGCCGCGGUAAUACGUAGGGCGCGAGCGUUGUCCGGAAUUAUUGGGCGUAAAGGGCUUGUAGGUGGCUGGUUGCGUCUGUCGUGAAAGCUCAUGGCUUAACUGUGGGUUUGCGGUGGGUACGGGCUGGCUUGAGUGCAGUAGGGGAGGCUGGAAUUCCUGGUGUAGCGGUGGAAUGCGCAGAUAUCAGGAGGAAUACCGGUGGCGAAGGCGGGUCUCUGGGCUGUUACUGACACUGAGGAGCGAAAGCAUGAGGAGCGAACAGG